GCAAACUUGGUCAUUUAGAGGAAGUAAAAGUCGUAACAAGGUUUCCGUAGGUGAACCUGCGGAAGGAUCAUUUCAAUAUAAAAGACUGGGGAGUCUUUUACGACAAACUGUGCACUUGUCUAUGUAUAUAUACUUGAAGCAGACUUGUUGAAUCUUUCAGUUAUCUGUGUGUAUGUAUGUAUGUAUGUGUAUUGCCCUCUGCUGCUAUGCUAGUAGUAGUGGUAGUAGUUGCAUAUAUAUAUAAUAUAUGUGUGCAUUCAACGUAUAACCAAAUACAACUUUUAACAAUGGAUCUCUUGGCUCUUGCAUCGAUGAAGAACGCAGC
RNAcentral lists this unclassified non-coding RNA (325 nucleotides) under uncultured fungus. Its description in RNAcentral is "partial contains small subunit ribosomal RNA, internal transcribed spacer 1, and 5.8S ribosomal RNA". The stretch from base 1 to 73 matches the Rfam family "Eukaryotic small subunit ribosomal RNA", at positions 1759 to 1831 of the family's 1831-position model. Lineage: Eukaryota; Fungi. The record is from RNAcentral.